Molecule: ribosomal RNA, 497 nt
Filed under: Pristimantis torresi
Lineage: Eukaryota; Metazoa; Chordata; Amphibia; Anura; Strabomantidae
Description: partial large subunit ribosomal RNA
Rfam family: Bacterial large subunit ribosomal RNA
Source: RNAcentral
CUGCCCAGUGACUCUGUUCAACGGCCGCGGUAUCCUAACCGUGCGAAGGUAGCGUAAUCACUUGUUUUUUAAAUGAAGACCUGUAUGAAAGGCACCACGAGGACUAAACUGUCUCCUUUUUCCAAUCAGUGAACCUAAUCUCCCCGUGAAGAAGCGGGAAUUAUAUUAUAAGACGAGAAGACCCUAUGGAGCUUAAAACACUAUGACAUCUGCCACCCCAUUAUCACACACUCAUCUAAACGGCAUUUUGAUCUUAUGUUUUUGGUUGGGGUGACCGCGGAGAAAAACUAAUCCUCCACGAUGAAAGGGAACUCCCUAAACAAUAAGCUACAUCUUUAUGUAUCAAUAAAUUGACAUCCAUUGACCCAAUAAUUUGAUUAACGAACCAAGUUACCCUAGGGAUAACAGCGCAAUCCACUUUAAGAGCCCCUAUCGACAAGUGGGCUUACGACCUCGAUGUUGGAUCGGGGUAUCCCAGUGGUGCAGCAGCUACUAAA